UCCGGUUUGUCACCGGCAGUCUCCUAUGAGUCCCCAACUGAAUGAUGGCAACAUAGGACAAGGGUUGCGCUCGUUGCGGGACUUAACCCAACAUCUCACGACACGAGCUGACGACAGCCAUGCAGCACCUGUGUUCCCGUUCCCUUUCGGGCACAGCCGGGUUUCCCCAGCCUCCAGGACAUGUCAAGGGUAGGUAAGGUUUUUCGCGUUGCAUCGAAUUAAUCCACAUAAUCCACCGCUUGUGCGGACCCCCGUCAAUUCCUUUGAGUUUCAACCUUGCGGUCGUACUCCCCAGGUGGCUCACUUAACGGUUUCCCUUGGACGCACGACCUCUAGGGCCACACGUCGAGUGAGCAUCGUUUAGGGCGUGGACUAC
This 376-nucleotide unclassified non-coding RNA is filed under the name uncultured bacterium. Its description in RNAcentral is "contains 16S-23S intergenic spacer region". The record is from RNAcentral.